UACGAAGGGUGCAAGCGUUAGUCGGAAUUACUGGGCGUAAAGCGUGCGUAGGUGGUUUCUUAAGUCGGAUGUGAAAGCCCUGGGCUCAACCUGGGAAUGGCACUCGAUACUGGGAAGCUAGAGUGCGGUAGAGGAGGGUGGAAUUCCCGGUGUAGCGGUGAAAUGCGUAGAGAUCGGGAGGAACAUCAGUGGCGAAGGCGACCCUCUGGACCAGCACUGACGCUGAGGCACGAAAGCGUGGGGAGCAAACAGG
Molecule: ribosomal RNA, 253 nt
Filed under: uncultured bacterium
Lineage: Bacteria
Also listed under: 1 other name
Description: partial 16S ribosomal RNA
Rfam family: Bacterial small subunit ribosomal RNA
Source: RNAcentral